GCUGGCGGCGUGCCUAACACAUGCAAGUCGAACGAGAAAGUGGAGCAAUCCAUGAGUAAAGUGGCGACCGGGUGAGUAACACGUGACUAACCUACCUCCGAGUGGGGAAUAACUCCGGGAAACCGGGGCUAAUACCGCAUAACAUCGCAAGAUCAAAGCAGCAAUGCGCUUGGAGAGGGGGUCGCGGCUGAUUAGCUAGUUGGCGGGGUAACGGCCCACCAAGGCGAAGAUCGGUAUCCGGCCUGAGAGGGCGCACGGACACACUGGAACUGAAACACGGUCCAGACUCCUACGGGAGGCAGCAGUGGGGAAUUUUGCGCAAUGGGGGAAACCCUGACGCAGCAACGCCGCGUGGAGGAUGAAGCCCUUUGGGGCGUAAACUCCUUUCGACUCGGACGAUAAUGACGGUACGAGUGGAAGAAGCACCGGCUAACUCUGUGCCAGCAGCCGCGGUAAUACAGAGGGUGCGAGCGUUGUUCGGAAUUAUUGGGCGUAAAGGGCGCGUANGCGGUGCGGUAAGUCACCUGUGAAAUCUCCUGCCUU
This 543-nucleotide ribosomal RNA is filed under the name uncultured bacterium. Its description in RNAcentral is "bacterial SSU rRNA". It matches the Rfam family "Bacterial small subunit ribosomal RNA", at positions 35 to 610 of the family's 1533-position model. The record is from RNAcentral.